GAUGAACGCUGGCGGCGUGCCUAACACAUGCAAGUCGAGCGAUUCUCUUCGGAGAAGAGCGGCGGACGGGUGAGUAACGCGUGGGUAACCUGCCCUGUACACACGGAUAACAUACCGAAAGGUAUGCUAAUACGAGAUAAUAUGCUUUUAUCGCAUGGUAGAAGUAUCAAAGCUUUUGCGGUACAGGAUGGACCCGCGUCUGAUUAGCUAGUUGGUAAGGUAAUGGCUUACCAAGGCGACGAUCAGUAGCCGACCUGGUAGGGUGAUCGGCCACAUUGGAACUGACACACGGUCCAAACUCCUACGGGAGGCAGCAGUGGUGAAUAUUGCACAAUGGGCGAAAGCCUGAUGCAGCAACGCCGCGUGAGCGAUGAAGGCCUUCGGGUCGUAAAGCUCUGUCCUCAAGGAAGAUAAUGACGGUACUUGAGGAGGAAGCCCCGGCUAACUACGUGCCAGCCGCCGCCGUAA
Molecule: ribosomal RNA, 468 nt
Filed under: uncultured bacterium
Lineage: Bacteria
Description: partial 16S ribosomal RNA
Rfam family: Bacterial small subunit ribosomal RNA
Source: RNAcentral